This 751-nucleotide ribosomal RNA is filed under the name uncultured bacterium. RNAcentral's name for it is "bacterial SSU rRNA". It matches the Rfam family "Bacterial small subunit ribosomal RNA", at positions 28 to 795 of the family's 1533-position model. The record is from RNAcentral.
GACGAACGCUGGCGGCGUGCCUAACACAUGCAAGUCGAGCGGGGAGAAGAAAUCGUUUUUCUCUUUAGCGGCGGACGGGUGAGUAACACGUGGGUAACCUGCCUCAAAGUGGGGGAUAGCCUUCCGAAAGGAAGAUUAAUACCGCAUAAAAUCAUAGCACUGCAUGGUGCUGUGAUCAAAGGAGCAAUCCGCUUUGAGAUGGACCCGCGGCGCAUCAGCUAGUUGGUGAGGUAACGGCCCACCAAGGCGACGAUGCGUAGCCGACCUGAGAGGGUGAUCGGCCACAUUGGAACUGAGACACGGUCCAGACUCCUACGGGAGGCAGCAGUGGGGAAUAUUGCACAAUGGGGGAAACCCUGAUGCAGCAACGCCGCGUGAGUGAUGAAGGCCUUCGGGUCGUAAAGCUCUUUGAUCAGGGACGAUAAUGACGGUACCUGAAAAACAAGCCACGGCUAACUACGUGCCAGCAGCCGCGGUAAUACGUAGGUGGCGAGCGUUGUCCGGAUUUACUGGGCGUAAAGAAUGCGUAGGUGGAUAUUUAAGUGGGAUGUGAAAUCCCCGGGCUCAACCCGGGAACUGCAUACCAAACUGGAUAUCUGGAGUGCAGGAGAGGAAAGCGGAAUUCCUAGUGUAGCGGUGAAAUGCGUAGAUAUUAGGAGGAACACCAGUGGCGAACGCGGCUUUCUGGACUGUAACUGACAUUGACGCACGAAAGCGUGGGGAGCAAACUGGAUUAGAUACUCUGGUAGUC